RNAcentral lists this ribosomal RNA (253 nucleotides) under uncultured bacterium. RNAcentral's name for it is "partial 16S ribosomal RNA". It matches the Rfam family "Bacterial small subunit ribosomal RNA", at positions 524 to 776 of the family's 1533-position model. The record is from RNAcentral.
UACGUAGGGCGCAAGCGUUGUCCGGAUUUAUUGGGGUUAAAGGGUGCGUAGGCGGCUUUGUAAGUCAGUGGUGAAAUAUGGCAGCUUAACUGUCAAGGUGCCAUUGAUACUGCGGAGCUUGAGUACAGAUGAGGUAGGCGGAAUUGACGGUGUAGCGGUGAAAUGCUUAGAUAUCGUCAAGAACACCUAUAGCGAAGGCAGCUUACUAGGCUGUAACUGACGCUGAGGCACGAAAGUGUGGGGAUCAAACAGG